AACAUAGUUCAUGUCACUUUCAAACGAUUAAGAAUCAAAUUGCGUGUUCAAAGGACAGUGCAAUAUAAAUUCAGUAUCUGGCAUCGUUGGUUUUCUUGGCUUUGUGCAUGUUAAACCUGGUAUUUUUAUUGAGACAUUA
This is a non-coding RNA of Myotis davidii, 139 nucleotides long. Lineage: Eukaryota; Metazoa; Chordata; Mammalia; Chiroptera; Vespertilionidae. The record is from Rfam.